ACCAAGGGUUCCUGUCCAACGUUAAUCGGGGCAGGGUGAGUCGACCCCUAAGGCGAGGCUGAAAAGCGUAGUCGAUGGGCAACGGGUUAAUAUUCCCGUACUGGUGGUAACUGCGAAGGGGGGACGGAGAAAGCUAAAUCAUCCGGGCGACGGUUGUCCCGGUUUAAGCGUGCAGGUGGACUGACCAGGCAAAUCCGGUCGGUUGUUAACACUGAGGCGUGACGACGAGCCACUACGGUGGUGAAGUGAUUGAUGCUCUGCUUCCGGGAAAAGCCUCUAAGCUCCAGGUUACCAUUAAUCGUACCCCAAACCGACACAGGUGGUCAGGUAGAGAAUACUCAGGCGCUUGAGAGAACUCGGGUGAAGGAACUAGGCAAAAUGGUGCCGUAACUUCGGGAGAAGGCACGCUGGCAUUAGGUGAAGUGGUUUACCCAUGGAGCUGAAGCCAGC
This 450-nucleotide ribosomal RNA is filed under the name Salmonella enterica subsp. enterica serovar Bareilly. RNAcentral's name for it is "partial 23S ribosomal RNA". It matches the Rfam family "Bacterial large subunit ribosomal RNA", at positions 1344 to 1787 of the family's 2925-position model. Lineage: Bacteria; Pseudomonadati; Pseudomonadota; Gammaproteobacteria; Enterobacterales; Enterobacteriaceae. The record is from RNAcentral.